GCUCGCAUGGCUCAGUUGGUAGAGCGCAUGACUAGUAUACCACGGCAAUUCGCCUGGUACGCCAUCAUGAGGUCCGCGGUUCGAAUCCGCGUGUGAGCA
This is a transfer RNA of Aspergillus clavatus NRRL 1, 99 nucleotides long. It matches the Rfam family "tRNA". From Rfam's summary of the family: Transfer RNA (tRNA) molecules are approximately 80 nucleotides in length. Their secondary structure includes four short double-helical elements and three loops (D, anti-codon, and T loops). NCBI's taxonomy places the organism in Eukaryota, Fungi, Ascomycota, Eurotiomycetes, Eurotiales, Aspergillaceae. The record is from Rfam.